This 277-nucleotide ribosomal RNA is filed under the name uncultured eukaryote. RNAcentral's name for it is "partial 18S ribosomal RNA". It matches the Rfam family "Eukaryotic small subunit ribosomal RNA", at positions 21 to 295 of the family's 1831-position model. The record is from RNAcentral.
UAGUCAUAUGCUUGUCUCAAAGAUUAAGCCAUGCAUGUCUAAGUAUAAACAUCUUUAUACAGUGAAACUGCGUACAGCUCAUUAUAUCAGUAAUGAUUUAUUUGAUGGUACCUUACUACAUGGAUAACCGUAGUAAUUCUAGAGCUAAUACAUGCGUACAGUCUCGACCGCAAGGAAGGGAUGUAUUUAUUAGAUAAAAAAUCAAUGCGGUCUCGGCCGGUUUAUUGGUGAUUCAUAAUAACUACUCGAAUCGCAUGGCUUUAUGCUGGCGAUAGUU